Pongo pygmaeus (Bornean orangutan) is the source of this 107-nucleotide small nuclear RNA. The record is from RefSeq and is a predicted model, not a curated record. Lineage: Eukaryota; Metazoa; Chordata; Mammalia; Primates; Hominidae.
GUGCCCACUUCGGCAGCACAUGCACUAAAAGUGGAACAAUACAGAGAAGAUUCGCAUGGCCGCUGUGCAAGGAUGACAGGCAAAUUCAUCGCGCUCUCCACAAAAAC